This 543-nucleotide ribosomal RNA is filed under the name uncultured Colpodella. Its description in RNAcentral is "eukaryotic LSU rRNA". It matches the Rfam family "Eukaryotic large subunit ribosomal RNA", at positions 86 to 594 of the family's 3401-position model. Lineage: Eukaryota; Colpodellaceae. The record is from RNAcentral.
GAGGCGAUUGAACAGGGAAGAGCACAAAAUGUAAAUCUCAGCGCAAGCUGCGAAUUGUAGUCUCCAGACGCGAUACCAUCUUUCCUGCAGGGAUAAUUUCUCUUGAACGAGAGACCAUAGAGGGUGAGAGUCCCGUCUUUGCUCUGCAACGGAAAGUAUACGGUUCGUGUUCAAAGAGUCGCGUUCUUUGGGAAUAGAGCGCUAAGUGGGUGGUAAAUGUCAUCUAAUGCUAAAUAUUGGUGGGAGACCGAUAGCGAACAAGUACCGUGAGGGAAAGAUGAAAAGAACUUUGAAAAGAGGGUUAAAAGUGCCUGAAAUUGCUGGUAGGGAAGCGGAUUGUAUUGUCCUAGUUAAGGGGUAUGGCGCAUGAGAAGGAUGAAAUUUGGAGUUCACCGCAAGGGAAUCUCUGAACGUAGGCUCAUUGUGUGUCCGUUUGCCCCUUAGCUUAGUCUGCGUCGGUUGUGACUGUGUAAAAACCCUUUGUUGAUGCGUUUCGGCGUAUUAACAGAGACGGACGACACGGAUGCUGCCGAAGUUGUGAAU